CGACCAGAUAGUGCGGCUUGACCGUGCCGUCGGGUUCGGGGCCCUGCGGGAUGAAACUCCACUUCAUGCCGGUGGGGAAACCGGCCCCGCCGC
This 93-nucleotide transfer RNA is filed under the name Nocardia cyriacigeorgica. RNAcentral describes it as "tRNA-Pro(cgg)". Lineage: Bacteria; Bacillati; Actinomycetota; Actinomycetes; Mycobacteriales; Nocardiaceae. The record is from RNAcentral.